ACGCUGGCGGCGUGCCUAAUACAUGCAAGUAGAACGCUGAAGGAGGAGCUUGCUUCUCCGGAUGAGUUGCGAACGGGUGAGUAACGCGUAGGUAACCUGCCUGGUAGCGGGGGAUAACUAUUGGAAACGAUAGCUAAUACCGCAUAAGAGUAGAUGUUGCAUGACAUUUGCUUAAAAGGUGCAAUUGCAUCACUACCAGAUGGACCUGCGUUGUAUUAGCUAGUUGGUGGGGUAACGGCUCACCAAGGCGACGAUACAUAGCCGACCUGAGAGGGUGAUCGGCCACACUGGGACUGAGACACGGCCCAGACUCCUACGGGAGGCAGCAGUAGGGAAUCUUCGGCAAUGGACGGAAGUCUGACCGAGCAACGCCGCGUGAGUGAAGAAGGUUUUCGGAUCGUAAAGCUCUGUUAUAAGAGAAGAACGAGUGUGAGAGUGGAAAGUUCACACUGUGACGGUAUCUUACCAGAAAGGGACGGCUAACUACGUGCCAGCAGCCGCGGUAAUACGUAGGUCCCGAGCGUUGUCCGGAUUUAUUGGGCGUAAAGCGAGCGCAGGCGGUUAGGUAAGUCUGAAGUUAAAGGCUGUGGCUUAACCAUAGUACGCUUUGGAAACUGUUUAACUUGAGUGCAAGAGGGGAGAGUGGAAUUCCAUGUGUAGCGGUGAAAUGCGUAGAUAUAUGGAGGAACACCGGUGGCGAAAGCGGCUCUCUGGCUUGUAACUGACGCUGAGGCUCGAAAGCGUGGGGAGCAAACAGGAUUAAAUACCCUGGUAGUCCACGCCGUAAACGAUGAGUGCUAGGUGUUAGACCCUUUCCGGGGUUUAGUGCCGCAGCUAACGCAUUAAGCACUCCGCCUGGGGAGUACGACCGCAAGGUUGAAACUCAAAGGAAUUGACGGGGGCCCGCACA
Molecule: ribosomal RNA, 910 nt
Filed under: uncultured bacterium
Lineage: Bacteria
Description: bacterial SSU rRNA
Rfam family: Bacterial small subunit ribosomal RNA
Source: RNAcentral